AAAUUGAAGAGUUUGAUCAUGGCUCAGAUUGAACGCUGGCGGCAGGCCUAACACAUGCAAGUCGAGCGGAAACGAGUUAUCUGAACCUUCGGGGAACGUUAACGGCGUCGAGCGGCGGACGGGUGAGUAAUGCCUAGGAAAUUGCCCUGAUGUGGGGGAUAACCAUUGGAAA
This 172-nucleotide ribosomal RNA is filed under the name Vibrio parahaemolyticus. RNAcentral's name for it is "partial 16S ribosomal RNA". It matches the Rfam family "Bacterial small subunit ribosomal RNA", at positions 1 to 156 of the family's 1533-position model. Lineage: Bacteria; Pseudomonadati; Pseudomonadota; Gammaproteobacteria; Vibrionales; Vibrionaceae. The record is from RNAcentral.